CAGAGAAUAGUUUAAAGAAAAUAUUAGUUUUGGGAAUUAAAGAUAAAAGAAAGUUUUUUCUCUGA
This 65-nucleotide transfer RNA is filed under the name Carpilius convexus. RNAcentral's name for it is "tRNA-Pro". It matches the Rfam family "tRNA". Rfam says of the family: Transfer RNA (tRNA) molecules are approximately 80 nucleotides in length. Their secondary structure includes four short double-helical elements and three loops (D, anti-codon, and T loops). Further hydrogen bonds mediate the characteristic L-shaped molecular structure. tRNAs have two regions of fundamental functional importance: the anti-codon, which is responsible for specific mRNA codon recognition, and the 3' end, to which the tRNAs corresponding amino acid is attached (by aminoacyl-tRNA synthetases). tRNAs cope with the degeneracy of the genetic code in two manners: having more than one tRNA (with a specific anti-codon) for a particular amino acid; and 'wobble' base-pairing, i.e. permitting non-standard base-pairing at the 3rd anti-codon position. The record is from RNAcentral. Lineage: Eukaryota; Metazoa; Arthropoda; Malacostraca; Decapoda; Carpiliidae.